UACGUAGGGUGCAAGCGUUAUCCGGAAUUAUUGGGCGUAAAGAGCUCGUAGGCGGUUUGUCGCGUCUGCUGUGAAAACCCGAGGCUCAACCUCGGGCCUGCAGUGGGUACGGGCAAACUAGAGUGCGGUAGGGGAGAUUGGAAUUCCUGGUGUAGCGGUGGAAUGCGCAGAUAUCAGGAGGAACACCGAUGGCGAAGGCAGAUCUCUGGGCCGUAACUGACGCUGAGAAGCGAAAGCAUGGGGAGCGAACAGG
Molecule: ribosomal RNA, 253 nt
Filed under: uncultured bacterium
Lineage: Bacteria
Description: partial 16S ribosomal RNA
Rfam family: Bacterial small subunit ribosomal RNA
Source: RNAcentral